Molecule: ribosomal RNA, 497 nt
Filed under: uncultured bacterium
Lineage: Bacteria
Description: partial 16S ribosomal RNA
Rfam family: Bacterial small subunit ribosomal RNA
Source: RNAcentral
GAUGAACGCUGGCGGCGUGCCUAAUACAUGCAAGUCGAGCGAACGGACGAGAAGCUUGCGUUUCUGAUGUUAGCGGCGGACGGGAGAGUAACACGUGGAUAACCUACCUAUAAGACUGGGAUAAUUUCGGGAAACCGGAGCUAAUACCGGAUAAUCUUUUGAACCGCAUGGUUCAAAAGUGAGAGACGGUCUUGCGGUCACUAAUAGAUGGAUCCGCGCUGCAUUAGCUGGUUGGUAAGGUAACGGCUUACCAAGGCAACGAUGCGUAGCCGACCUGAGAGGGUGAUCGCCCACACCGGAGCUUAGCCACGGACCAGACUCCUACGGUAGGCCGCAGUAGGGAAUCUUCCGCAAUGGUCGAGAGCCUGACGGAGCAACGCCGCGUCAGUGAUGAAAGUCUUCGGAUCGUAAAACUCUGUUAUUAGGGAAGAACAUAUGUGUAAGUAACUGUGCACAUCUUGACGGUACCUGAUCAGAAAGCCACGGCUAACUACGUG